This 425-nucleotide ribosomal RNA is filed under the name uncultured bacterium. RNAcentral describes it as "partial 16S ribosomal RNA". It matches the Rfam family "Bacterial small subunit ribosomal RNA", at positions 354 to 796 of the family's 1533-position model. The record is from RNAcentral.
GUUAGGAAUAUUGGACAAUGGGCGCAAGCCUGAUCCAGCCAUGCCGCGUGAGUGAUGAAGGCCUUCGGGUAGUAAAGCUCUUUAGCCGAUGAUUAUAAUGAGUGUAGUCAGAAAAUAAGCCCCGGCUAACUUCGUGCCAGCAGCCGCGGUAAUACGAAGGGGGCGAGCGUUAUUCGGAAUCACUGGGCGUAAAGCGUGCGUAGGCGGCUUUGCAAGAUGGGAGUGAAAGCCCAGGGCUCAACCCUGGAAUUGCUCUCAAAACUGCAAGGCUCGAAUUCGGGAGAGGAUAGCGGAAUUGUCAGUGUAGCAGUGAAAUGCGUAGAUAUUGACAGGAACACCAGUGGCGUAAGCGGCUAUCUGGACCGAUAUUGACGCUGAGGCACGAAAGCGUGGGGAUCAAACAGGAUUAGAAACCCUGGUAGUCC